Long non-coding RNA from Pan troglodytes (chimpanzee), 298 nucleotides. RefSeq lists it as uncharacterized. NCBI's taxonomy places the organism in Eukaryota, Metazoa, Chordata, Mammalia, Primates, Hominidae. The record is from RefSeq and is a predicted model, not a curated record. The transcript has 2 exons.
GCACUGUGCUAGAUCUGGAAAUACAGAAAUGAAAGAGGCAGUUCCUGCCAUCAGGGACCUUUCUGUUUAAGGAGAGAAACUGAGGAUCAGGAAGUUAUCUAACUUCCUGAGGUUUUUUUGGACCUCACUUUCCUGAGAGGUUUUGGAGAAAAGGAAAUCUUGAUCACCUUAAAUGCCUUUUCUCUGAUUUCAGAGAGAUCAGCUUCUGAGCUGCAAUCCUCAUGACCUUUUUUCCCUUGCUAAUGCCCAAUACACUAUUAAUAUUGAUUCUUUCAUCAAAAUAAACACCAAAGCCCAA